Molecule: ribosomal RNA, 469 nt
Filed under: uncultured microorganism
Description: bacterial SSU rRNA
Rfam family: Bacterial small subunit ribosomal RNA
Source: RNAcentral
GAGUUUGAUCUUGGCUCAGAACGAACGCUGGCGGCAUGCCUAACACAUGCAAGUCGAACGAAGUCUUCGGACUUAGUGGCGCACGGGUGCGUAACGCGUGGGAAUCUGCCCUUGGGUACGGAAUAACUCAGAGAAAUUUGUGCUAAUACCGUAUAAUGUCUUCGGACCAAAGAUUUAUCGCCCAAGGAUGAGCCCGCGUAAGAUUAGCUAGUUGGUGAGGUAAGAGCUCACCAAGGCGACGAUCUUUAGCUGGUCUGAGAGGAUGAUCAGCCACACUGGGACUGAGACACGGCCCAGACUCCUACGGGAGGCAGCAGUGGGGAAUAUUGGACAAUGGGCGAAAGCCUGAUCCAGCAAUGCCGCGUGAGUGAUGAAGGCCUUAGGGUUGUAAAGCUCUUUUACCCGGGAUGAUAAUGACAGUACCGGGAGAAUAAGCUCCGGCUAACUCCGUGCCAGCCGCCGCAGUAAU